UCAGCCAUACGGCGGUGAAUCCGUUCCCGGGCCUUGUACACACCGCCCGUCAUAAAGCCCGAUAAGCAUGUCUUGGGUUGGUACGCAAAUAGGAUCCCCAAUAGCGGGAGAUAAGAGAUUCAUAUGAGAAAACAUAAGUAAACGGGCUUCUGCCUGAGCUUC
Molecule: ribosomal RNA, 162 nt
Filed under: Triticum aestivum (bread wheat)
Lineage: Eukaryota; Viridiplantae; Streptophyta; Magnoliopsida; Poales; Poaceae
Description: partial small subunit ribosomal RNA
Source: RNAcentral